This 155-nucleotide ribosomal RNA is filed under the name uncultured Bacteroidota bacterium. RNAcentral's name for it is "uncultured Bacteroidetes bacterium partial 16S ribosomal RNA". It matches the Rfam family "Bacterial small subunit ribosomal RNA", at positions 390 to 535 of the family's 1533-position model. The record is from RNAcentral. Lineage: Bacteria; Pseudomonadati; Bacteroidota.
AGCCAUGCCGCGUGCAGGAAGACUGCCCUAUGGGUUGUAAACUGCUUUUUUACGGGAAGAAUAAUGCCCACGUGUGGGCAGAUGACGGUACCGUAAGAAUAAGGACCGGCUAACUCCGUGCCAGCAGCCGCGGUAAUAAUCGAAUUCCCGCGGCC